CCUUGAAGAUCGGAGUGCUUGCACUCUGUGAAACAAGAUACAGGCUAGCGGCGGACGGGUGAGUAACACGUGGGUAACCUGCCCAAGAGAUCGGGAUAACACCUGGAAACAGAUGCUAAUACCGGAUAACAACAGAUGAUGCCUAUCAACUGUUUAAAAGAUGGUUCUGCUAUCACUCUUGGAUGGACCUGCGGUGCAUUAGCUAGUUGGUAGGGUAACGGCCUACCAAGGCGAUGAUGCAUAGCCGAGUUGAGAGACUGAUCGGCCACAUUGGGACUGAGACACGGCCCAAACUCCUACGGGAGGCAGCAGUAGGGAAUCUUCCACAAUGGACGCAAGUCUGAUGGAGCAACGCCGCGUGAGUGAAGAAGGGUUUCGGCUCGUAAAGCUCUGUUGUUGGUGAAGAAGGACAGGGGUAGUAACUGACCUUUGUUUGACGGUAAUCAAUUAGAAAGUCACGGCUAACUACGUGCCAGCAGCCGCGGUAAUACGUAGGUGGCAAGCGUUGUCCGGAUUUAUUGGGCGUAAAGCGAGUGCAGGCGGCUCGAUAAGUCUGAUGUGAAAGCCUUCGGCUCAACCGGAGAAUUGCAUCAGAAACUGUCGAGCUUGAGUACAGAAGAGGAGAGUG
RNAcentral lists this ribosomal RNA (628 nucleotides) under uncultured bacterium. Its description in RNAcentral is "bacterial SSU rRNA". It matches the Rfam family "Bacterial small subunit ribosomal RNA", at positions 62 to 663 of the family's 1533-position model. The record is from RNAcentral.